This 1052-nucleotide long non-coding RNA is filed under the name Macaca mulatta (Rhesus monkey). RNAcentral's name for it is "lncRNA (ENSMMUG00000042979.2)". The record is from RNAcentral. Lineage: Eukaryota; Metazoa; Chordata; Mammalia; Primates; Cercopithecidae.
AUGUUUGCAAUGCUUCAGAAUAGAACAUUUGUUUUCAAUGGUUAAGAAUGGACCAAUUAGGAAAUGCCUAUGUAGCUUAUACAUUAUGAAACGCUGUUAAUGAAAAUUUGAAUAUUCAAACCUCUCACCAAUUAUUCCACAGAAGCAUGGAAAUGAUAUGAACUGAUGAAAAAGAUACUGGAGCUCCUUUAAAGAAUGCUAUCACACCAUAAGUGGAAGUACUGUGGUAGAAGAGAGACUAUAAAAUAUUAAUGGACUAUUGACCUGAGGUAGCAAAGGAAGAUAAAAGCAAAUUAUCUGAGUGCAUGAAGAAGCUGCCUGUCUCCACGGUGUGGAAAGAACUUCAAUAUAACAACAGUAGAAUAUUGUAUGAAUCAUGUUUCUGUCUUCAUGGCCUCGUUGGAGCUCAGAAACCAAUACACCAAAAUAUGACACUUUGAUGUGCUAAACUGAAGAAGCCUCAACAUCUCUCUGAUCUGAGCCUACGCUUCCUGUCUCUCAAUCCUGCCUCUUCCAAAGAACAGGAUGAAGUUGUUCUUGGAAGUUACCUUAUCUGUUAAAGUCUGGAUAGAACAAAAAAGAAAAUAAGUAUCUCUGGUCCCUUCUCUGUGCUGAAUUCAUAUUGCAGGAAGACUGAAGUCUAUCAACACACCUGAAGAGACUUUACUGACAAACCAGUGUUCUGCCAACCCAGCAGACUUUGUCCCAGGUGACUGUAUGUUCUUCAAGCCCUUUGACUCCCUCUAAAAAUUAUUUACUAUCCCCUAAAAUCAUCCACACUUUAUAUUUCCCUUUCCCUAAGAGAAGGGUAUAUAGCCAUCUGUUCCCUAUUGUGUGGUGUGGUAAUCAAUUUGUGAUUCUCUUGUACACAUCAAUAAAUUUGUAUCACUUUAUUGCAUGAAUCUAUCUUUUGUCGCUUACUUUUCAGUGAAACUUGAGAGGGUGAAGGAUCAAGUUUGCCCUUGGCCCGUACAGCCUUUUAUUGCCAAACCUAAGAAGUCCAGUGACUGACAAUGCCAUCUUAUUAUCAUUAAAAGUCUAGUAAUUGUGGC